Molecule: ribosomal RNA, 1046 nt
Filed under: Salipaludibacillus sp.
Lineage: Bacteria; Bacillati; Bacillota; Bacilli; Caryophanales; Bacillaceae
Description: bacterial SSU rRNA
Rfam family: Bacterial small subunit ribosomal RNA
Source: RNAcentral
AGAUCCCUUCGGGGUGACGCUUGUGGAAUGAGCGGCGGACGGGUGAGUAACACGUGGGCAACCUGCCUUGUAGACUGGGAUAACUCCGGGAAACCGGAGCUAAUACCGGAUGAUCAACGGAAUCGCAUGAUUCUGUUGUAAAAGUGGGGAGUAAUCCUCACACUACGAGAUGGGCCCGCGGCGCAUUAGCUAGUUGGUAAGGUAAUGGCUUACCAAGGCAACGAUGCGUAGCCGACCUGAGAGGGUGAUCGGCCACACUGGAACUGAGACACGGUCCAGACUCCUACGGGAGGCAGCAGUAGGGAAUCAUCCGCAAUGGGCGAAAGCCUGACGGUGCAACGCCGCGUGAACGAUGAAGGUUUUCGGAUCGUAAAGUUCUGUUAUGAGGGAAGAACAAGUGCCGUUCAAAUAGGGCGGCACCUUGACGGUACCUCACGAGAAAGCCCCGGCUAACUACGUGCCAGCAGCCGCGGUAAUACGUAGGGGGCAAGCGUUGUCCGGAAUUAUUGGGCGUAAAGCGCGCGCAGGCGGUCUCUUAAGUCUGAUGUGAAAGCCCACGGCUCAACCGUGGAGGGUCAUUGGAAACUGGGAGACUUGAGUGUAGGAGAGGAAAGUGGAAUUCCACGUGUAGCGGUGAAAUGCGUAGAUAUGUGGAGGAACACCAGUGGCGAAGGCGACUUUCUGGCCUACAACUGACGCUGAGGCGCGAAAGCGUGGGGAGCAAACAGGAUUAGAUACCCUGGUAGUCCACGCUGUAAACGAUGAGUGCUAGGUGUUAGGGGUUUCGAUGCCCUUAGUGCCGAAGUUAACACAUUAAGCACUCCGCCUGGGGAGUACGGCCGCAAGGCUGAAACUCAAAGGAAUUGACGGGGGCCCGCACAAGCAGUGGAGCAUGUGGUUUAAUUCGACGCAACGCGAAGAACCUUACCAGGUCUUGACAUCCUCUGAACAUCUAGGAGACUAGGUUUUCCCCUUCGGGGGACAGAGUGACAGGUGGUGCAUGGUUGUCGUCAGCUCGUGUCGUGAGAUGUUGGGUUAAGUCCCGC